AACGUAGGAGGCAAGCGUUAUCCGGAUUUACUGGGCGUAAAGCGCAUGCAGGCGGUUUAGCAAGUCGGACGUAAAAGCUCCUGGCUCAACUGGGAGAGGCCGUUCGAGACUGUUAGACUUGAGGGUGGUAGAGGCGAGUGGAAUUCCCGGUGUAGUGGUGAAAUGCGUAGAUAUCGGGAGGAACACCAGUGGCGAAGGCGGCUCGCUGGGCCAUACCUGACGCUCAGAUGCGAAAGCUAGGGGAGAGAACGGGAUUAGAAACCCCGGUAUUCCUAGCCGUAAACGAUGUCAACUAGGCGUAGGCGGUGAUUGACCCCGUCUGUGCUGCAGCUAACGCGAUAAGUUGACCGCCUGGGGACUACGGCCGCAAGGCUAAA
This 377-nucleotide ribosomal RNA is filed under the name uncultured bacterium. RNAcentral describes it as "bacterial SSU rRNA". It matches the Rfam family "Bacterial small subunit ribosomal RNA", at positions 524 to 898 of the family's 1533-position model. The record is from RNAcentral.